Molecule: long non-coding RNA, 272 nt
Filed under: Anser cygnoides (Swan goose)
Lineage: Eukaryota; Metazoa; Chordata; Aves; Anseriformes; Anatidae
Description: lncRNA (ENSACDG00005003684.1)
Source: RNAcentral
CUGGUGUUGUUCUAAACCAGAAGAAAAACAAAUAUAAUCACUCCUUUUUUAUCUAUGGAAGACUUCAAGAACCUGUGGAUGGCCUAGGAGUGACUGUCAUUCAAAGGUGCUGUGUAAAGGACCUGAUGAAAAAGGCAUCAAUCAUUACAGAUCCUGAAUUUUUACCUGUUUGAUACAGCAUUUGAUGUGGCUGGGAAGAAGACUGAAAGACAGUAAAGUUUCACAGAUUUGUCAAACUUAAAAUAAAAGCCUCUACAACUGGGUAAGUGUCA